CACAUCUGGCAUUGGUGGUUCAGUGGUAGAAUUCUCGCCUGCCACGCGGGAGGCCCGGGUUCGAUUCCCGGCCAAUGCAGAGCUGGAGUUUUUGCCACCUUUUCUCUGGAGUGGCUCAGGGAUCGCUGCCGGCCCCUGUACACGGACAGGAGCCCUGAAGGCCUUCCUGAGCCACCUCUGUGCAUUUGGGGGCUGCAGCGGUGACCGGAGUCAACCCUAAGGAUGGUUCCCCCUGCGCCAGAGCAGAAUCUGCCCCGGAGCAUCCUGGCAUCGCUCCUUCCCUCCUGCCCAGCCCUGCAGCUCCUCUGCAGGCACCCAGGCUCCCAGGGUGACAUCGACAGCCAGGCAGCGCCAGAGCUAUCCCUCAGUUGGCCAACGGGGCUCCCAGUGGGCUGUGGCGGGGGUGGGUGGCAGGGAGCAUCCCUGGUUUGGUGGCACCGAGUGGCACUGGCUCGGUGGCAAGGGACAUUACUGAUGGGGGGGGCAUGAUGCCAAUGGGAGGGAGCUGGGGACCCUGUCCUAUCCAGACACGGACAGGCACCAUGGUGACCCACGUGUGCCGUGCCCACGGUGCCUGCACGGGUGCCACCAGAGCCACGGCACGGUGGCGGGUGCCCUCGGACCCAGCGGUGGGGGGCCUGGGGCCGCUGGCUGCAGAGCUGCUGCCUGACAGCGGCCGUGCCGUGUCCCCGCAGACGGACGUGGACGUGGUGGUGGCCGACCUGGUGAAGCAGGUGCACAGCGCCAGCGCCGAGAGCCGGAGGAAGGCCGUGCGCCCCAAGGCGCUGCUGGACAACUGCCUCAAGGUCAUGAGGAUGCUGUACGGCAGGCGCUGUGGCUGGGACUCCACCUAACGCCGCGGAGGGGGCCUCCCCGGGGACCCCGCUCAGCCUCCGGCGAGGAGGGCGAGGGGGGGGCCACGGCGAAGGACGGAGGGGAGCCGCGAAGGAAAACGUCUCCCGCCGGCGCCGCGCGACCGGCUCGACGCCUCUUGCUUUCCCCGGCCCCGAGGAAGCCGCCGCUCCUCUCCCGCGCCGCGGGGCCGCGGCCACCCGAAGGGCAGCCUUGGGGUGCUCCUCUCCGCGGCUGCCCCGCGGCGGGGAGGGCGCCUUGGCACCCCGCUCCCCGCAGGGCGCUGGGCACCCUGGGCACGAGGGACUUGCUGCAGCUCGGCGGCCUCAUCCUGCCCGCGAAGGCAGGUGCGGAGGGGGCGCAGCGGCGCCCUCGGGAAGGCGCGGGACCCUGGCGCCUCGCUGCCCUUCUGCACGGGUGCAGGCUGGAGCGGGGGCACCUGGAUGCAGCCCCCCCCCCCGGGGAAGGUGGCCCCCGGCCGUGUUGGGAGAUGCUGCCUCGUCCCGGCUGCAGCGGGUGUGAUUUUUAUCGCCAGUUUCCUGUCGUUUUGUAUUUUUCCUCAGCUUUCAUUAAAAAAAAUGAAUAAUUUUCUAGCUCUCCUUGUUGCAGAUAAGCUUCCGACUGGGUCACCUAAAGGCUCAGACCUUAACCGAAAUAAAAGACAAGCAGACAGAAGCCCA
This 1532-nucleotide transfer RNA is filed under the name Apteryx haastii (Great spotted kiwi). RNAcentral describes it as "lncRNA (ENSAHAG00000016370.1)". The stretch from base 9 to 79 matches the Rfam family "tRNA". The record is from RNAcentral. Lineage: Eukaryota; Metazoa; Chordata; Aves; Apterygiformes; Apterygidae.